This 85-nucleotide transfer RNA is filed under the name Felis catus (domestic cat). It matches the Rfam family "tRNA". From Rfam's summary of the family: Transfer RNA (tRNA) molecules are approximately 80 nucleotides in length. The record is from Rfam by way of RNAcentral. Lineage: Eukaryota; Metazoa; Chordata; Mammalia; Carnivora; Felidae.
GCCUGGGUAGCUCAGUGGGUUGAGUGUCCGACUUCAGCUCAGGUCAUGAUCUCGCAGUACGCGAGUUCGAGCCCCGCGUCAGGCU